GUCAGGAUGGCCGAGUGGUCUAAGGCGCCAGACUCAAGUUCUGGUCUCCCGCAGGAGGCGUGGUUCAAAUCCCACUCCUGACA
Mauremys reevesii (Reeves's turtle) is the source of this 83-nucleotide non-coding RNA. NCBI's taxonomy places the organism in Eukaryota, Metazoa, Chordata, Testudines, Geoemydidae. The record is from the annotation of a RefSeq genome assembly.